ACAGCAGCUACUACACCCAUCAGCCGAUAUGCACUAUAACCUGGCGAUAUCGGGAUAGGAGAGAGAGGUGGCCAUCUGAAAUAGGGAAAAGGAAGACAAAUUCUGCAAAGAAAGAAGCUCUAAUAAAUUUUUUUUUUUAAAAAAAAAAAACCCUUCCAGACCGGCCCCCAACAAACAGGCAGUAGCCAUGUCCCCUACCCCCUAGACCUAGACAACAACUCCCCGAUGCAACCCCCAGACCAUUGAGGAGAUCCAGGAGCUCGUGGUAAAAUACGCAACGGCAGUCAAGAGGACGGCGGAAGCCAGCUUCGACGGCGUGGAGAUUCAUUGCCUAGCUUCUGCUUCCCCCCUUCAAUCCUGCGCUUUCGUUUUCUUUCCUUUUUCUCUUCCCAUUCCCAUUCUCUUCUCUUUUAACCCUUUUUUUUUAAAAAAAAAAAAAAAAAAAAA
RNAcentral lists this small RNA (447 nucleotides) under Histoplasma ohiense. RNAcentral's name for it is "hypothetical lncRNA". Lineage: Eukaryota; Fungi; Ascomycota; Eurotiomycetes; Onygenales; Ajellomycetaceae. The record is from RNAcentral.